Molecule: ribosomal RNA, 2940 nt
Filed under: Brevibacillus laterosporus
Lineage: Bacteria; Bacillati; Bacillota; Bacilli; Caryophanales; Paenibacillaceae
Description: bacterial LSU rRNA
Rfam family: Bacterial large subunit ribosomal RNA
Source: RNAcentral
UUAAGUUAAUAAGGGCACACGGUGGAUGCCUUGGCGUUAGGAGCCGAAGAAGGACGCAGCGAACUGCGAUAAGCCUCGGGGAGUGGUAAGCACACUUUGAUCCGGGGAUCUCCGAAUGGGGAAACCCACCAUCUGUAAUGGGAUGGUAUCCUUCACUGAAUACAUAGGUGAUGAGAGGGCAGACCCGGUGAACUGAAACAUCUAAGUAGCCGGAGGAAGAGAAAACAAUAGUGAUUCCGUCAGUAGUGGCGAGCGAACGCGGAAGAGCCUAAACCGUAGGAUUUAUCCUACGGGGUUGUGGGGGCGUUUCAUAUAGGAGUUACAAAAGACAGAUGUAGGUGAACAGUUUGGGAAGACUGACCAAAGAGCGUGAUAGUCGCGUAACCCAAACAAUCUGUCUCUCCGAGACCAACCCCGAGUAGCGCGGGACAACGUGAAAUCCCGUGUGAAUCUGGCAGGACCAUCUGCUAAGGCUAAAUACUACCUAACGACCGAUAGUGAACCAGUACCGUGAGGGAAAAGGUGAAAAGCACCCCGGGAGGGGAGUGAAAUAGUACCUGAAACCGUGUGCUUACAAAUAGUCGGAGCACUUUCUAUGUGUGACGGCGUGCCUUUUGUAGAAUGAACCGGCGAGUUACGAUAGCGUGCGAGGUUAAGUCGAAGAGACGGAGCCGUAGCGAAAGCGAGUCUGAAUAGGGCGAAAGUACGUUGUCGUAGACCCGAAACCGUGUGAUCUAGCCAUGUCCAGGGUGAAGGUAGGGUAACACCUACUGGAGGGCCCGAACCCACGCACGUUGAAAAGUGCGGGGAUGAGGUGUGGCUAGCGGUGAAAUUCCAAUCGAACUCGGAGAUAGCUGGUUCUCCCCGAAAUAGCUUUAGGGCUAGCCUCGGAAUAAAGAGUCUUGGAGGGUAGAGCACUGAUUGGACUAGGGGCCCUCAUCGGGUUACCGAAUUCAGUCAAACUCCGAAUGCCAAGUACUUAUGUCCGGGAGUCAGACGGUGAGUGCUAAGAUCCAUCGUCAAAAGGGAAACAGCCCAGACCAUCAGCUAAGGCCCCCAAGUGUAUGUUAAGUGGGAAAACGAUGUGGAGUUGCCCAGACAAACCAGGGAUGUUGGCUUAGAAGCAGCCACCAUUUAAAAGAGUGCGUAAUAGCUCACUGGUCGAGUGACUCUGCGCGGAAAAUGUAACGGGGCUAAACAUACCGCCGAAGCUAUGGCAGUCCUUACGGACUGGGUAGGGGAGCGUUCCAAGCAGCAGUGAAGCCGUAUCGUGAGGAGCGGUGGAGCGCUUGGAAGUGAGAAUGCCGGUGUAAGUAGCGAAAAGACAAGUGAGAAUCUUGUCCACCGAAAGCCUAAGGUUUCCUGGGGAAGGCUCGUCCUCCCAGGGUUAGUCGGGACCUAAGCUGAGGCCGAAAGGCGUAGGCGAUGGACAACUGGUUGAUAUUCCAGUACCACCUCUGUUCCGCUUGAGCAAUGGCGUGACGCAGGAGGAUAGGGUGAGCGGCCUAUUGGAUGGCCGUCUAAGCAGUAAGUGUGGUGUGUAGGCAAAUCCGCACACCAUCAAGCACAAGCUGUGAUGGCGAGGGAAAUAUAAGUACCGAAGUCCCUGAUUUCACACUGCCAAGAAAAGCGUCUAGCGAGGAACAAGGUGCCCGUACCGCAAACCGACACAGGUAGGCGAGGAGAGAAUCCUAAGGUGCGCGGGAUAACUCUUGCUAAGGAACUCGGCAAAAUGGCCCCGUAACUUCGGGAGAAGGGGCGCCUCGGUAGGGUUUAUAGCCCGAGGAGGCCGCAGUGAAAAGGCCCAAGCGACUGUUUAGCAAAAACACAGGUCUCUGCGAAGCCGCAAGGCGAAGUAUAGGGGCUGACGCCUGCCCGGUGCUGGAAGGUUAAGGGGAUGAGUUAGCGCAAGCGAAGCUUUGAACCGAAGCCCCAGUAAACGGCGGCCGUAACUAUAACGGUCCUAAGGUAGCGAAAUUCCUUGUCGGGUAAGUUCCGACCCGCACGAAAGGCGUAACGACUUGGGCGCUGUCUCGGCAAGAGACCCGGUGAAAUCAUAAUACCUGUGAAGAUGCAGGUUACCCGCGACAAGACGGAAAGACCCCAUGGAGCUUUACUGUAGCCUGGUAUUGAAACUUUGUGCAUCAUGUACAGAAUAGGUGGGAAGCUGUGAAGCGAGGGCGCCAGCCUUCGUGGAGCUGUCGUUGGGAUACCACCCUUGAUGUACGGAGUUUCUAACUUGCCGCCCUUAUCGGGUGGAAGGACCAUGCCAGGUGGGCAGUUUGACUGGGGCGGUCGCCUCCUAAAGAGUAACGGAGGCGCCCAAAGGUUCCCUCAGAAUGGUCGGAAAUCAUUCGUAGAGUGUAAAGGCACAAGGGAGCUUGACUGCGAGACCUACAAGUCGAGCAGGGACGAAAGUCGGGCUUAGUGAUCCGGUGGUUCCGCAUGGAAGGGCCAUCGCUCAACGGAUAAAAGCUACCCUGGGGAUAACAGGCUUAUCUCCCCCAAGAGUCCACAUCGACGGGGAGGUUUGGCACCUCGAUGUCGGCUCAUCGCAUCCUGGGGCUGAAGUAGGUCCCAAGGGUUGGGCUGUUCGCCCAUUAAAGCGGUACGCGAGCUGGGUUCAGAACGUCGUGAGACAGUUCGGUCCCCUAUCUGUCGCGGGCGUAGGAAGUUUGAGGAGAGCUGUCCUUAGUACGAGAGGACCGGGAUGGACGCACCUCUGGUGCACCAGUUGUCACGCCCAGUGGCACAGCUGGGUAGCUAUGUGCGGACGGGAUAAGCGCUGAAAGCAUCUAAGCGUGAAGCCCCCUUCAAGAUGAGACUUCCCAUAGCGCAAGCUAGUAAGACCCCUUAUAGACGAUGAGGUUGAUAGGUUCGGUGUGGAAGUGCAGUAAUGCAUGGAGCUGACGAAUACUAAUCGGUCGAGGACUUAUCCAC